RNAcentral lists this ribosomal RNA (253 nucleotides) under uncultured bacterium. RNAcentral's name for it is "partial 16S ribosomal RNA". It matches the Rfam family "Bacterial small subunit ribosomal RNA", at positions 524 to 776 of the family's 1533-position model. The record is from RNAcentral.
UACGUAGGGUGCGGGCGUUAAUCGGAAUUACUGGGCGUAAAGCGUGCGCAGGCGGCCAUCCAAGUCAGUGGUGAAAGCCCGGAGCUCAACUCCGGAAUUGCCAUUGAAACUGUUCGGCUCGAGUACGAGAGAGGUGAGUGGAAUUCCCAGUGUAGAGGUGAAAUUCGUAGAUAUUGGGAAGAACACCGGUGGCGAAGGCGGCUCACUGGCUCGUUACUGACGCUCAGGCACGACAGCGUGGGGAUCAAACAGG